Myotis daubentonii (Daubenton's bat) is the source of this 456-nucleotide long non-coding RNA. RefSeq lists it as uncharacterized. Lineage: Eukaryota; Metazoa; Chordata; Mammalia; Chiroptera; Vespertilionidae. The record is from RefSeq and is a predicted model, not a curated record. The transcript has 3 exons.
UUCCGGUGGCUCCCGGCGGCGGGUCCGUGCGGUCUCCCGGCGAGUGUAUCGCGGGCCCCGCGGGCGGCGAAGGAGAAGGGCGGCCCCGUCUGCGUCAGGCCGCGUCCCCCGCGCCUCCGGAGACGGCUCCCUGCCCGCGGCGCCCCGCACCCCGCGGAUGACGAGCUCCGAGCCACGCUCCGCCCACAGGUUCCGAUGGCCGAGGAGGCGCGGGGCCCGGUCACCUUCGAAGACGUGGCCCUGUACUUCUCCCGGGAGGAGUGGACGCUCCUCACCCGCACGCAGAGGAGCCUGUACCGGGAGGUGAUGCUGGAGAACUUCACGCUCACGGUCUCGCUGGGUCUGUCUGGCUUCAUGGGAGUUUUUGUCACUGGCUCCCCAACUUCGUCCGUCCGUGGGUUCAGCUGCCACAAGUGACGUGAAUUGGGUCUUUGUUCUCUGCUUUCCCAGGCCAGG